Molecule: RNA transcript, 4525 nt
Organism: Mandrillus leucophaeus (drill)
Lineage: Eukaryota; Metazoa; Chordata; Mammalia; Primates; Cercopithecidae
Gene name: myotubularin-related protein 5-like
Exons: 3
Source: RefSeq, a predicted model, not a curated record
CUGGUGGAGGACGCUUUCCUGAUGAAGGUGCUGGAGGGCAUGGCUUUUGCUCUCUUCAUGUUGGAGCGUGGGGUCCCGUACCGCCCCACGGAACUGUUUGAUGAGCUGGUGGCCCACGAGGUGGCAUGCAGGCGGGCGGAUGAGAACCACCCCCAGUGUGUCCUGCGUCACAUCCAGGAACUGGCGGAGCAGCUCUACAAGAACGAGAACCUGUACCCAGACUUGGCGAUGCACAAGGUACAGAGGCGGGUGAGAGCAGCCAUCUGCGAUGGGCACCCCAGCCCUUCCCCUAGCUGGAUGAGGGCACCAUGCAGCGGAUCGUGGACCAGGCUACUGCCAAGAUGCAAGGGGCACACCUAGCCACGAAGGCUGAAGGGAGGACCACAGGGCCCUCAGGGCCCCGCAUGACUGCCAUACUGGAGUGGUGCAGAGGGCUGCAGGUCAACAGCGCUGGCCGGCUGGAGGUUGUGGGCAAUUGCAUCUCCCAUGAGUUUGAGGGGAAGAUGCUUGAAGCCAAGAAGCUGCUCCCAGCCGUGCUGAGGGCCCUGAAGAGGCGAGCUGCCCACCGCUGCCUCGCCCAGGAGCUGCACCUGUAUGUGCAGCAGAACUCGGCCGUCCUGGAUAACCAGCAGUUUGACUUUGUCAUCCAUAUGAUGAACUGCUGCCUGCAGGACUGCACUUCUCUGGACGAGCAUGACAUCUUGACUGCUCUGCUGCCUCUGGUCACGAAGCUGGAAGCUGAGCCGGAGGGGUGAGGCAGUUCUCUUACAGCUGUGUGCAGGAGCACGUGGUGUGGAGCAUGCCAGAAUUCUGGGAGGCCAUGUUCUAUUGGGACACGCAGACUCAAAUCUGGGCCCUCUACCUGGAGCCAACCAAGGACCAGGCCCCUGCCCAGGAGGUUGGGGAGGCACCUUCCCAGGAGGACGAGCAAGCACUCUGCCCUAGACGUGGCUUCUGAGCAGUGGUGUCUGUGGCCAUCCUUGAGCGGUGAGAAGCAGCAGGAACUGAUGCAGAAAGAGGACAGCAUAGUGUUCAGCCAGGCCAUCCACUAUGCCAACCGCAUGAGCUACCUCCUGCUGCCCCUGGACAGCAGCAAGAGCCUCCUGCUUCAGGAGCUCCCAGGCUGGGUGACCUAGAGAGCGCCAGCAACAGCCUGGUCCCCAACAGCGUGGCUGGCAGUGUGGCUAAGAGCUAUGACACGGGGAGCGGCUUUGAGGACACAGAGACCUGCAAUGUAGCUGGGGCUGUGUUCUGCUUCAUCAAUCGCUUUGUGGACAAGGUUUGCACAGAGAGUGGGGUCACCAAUGACCACCUCAAAGGGCUGCAUGUCAUGGUGCCAGACAUCAUCCAGAUGCACAUAGAGACCCUGAAGGCUGUGCAGCGGGAGAACUGGAGGCUGAUGCCCACCCAGAAACCAAAGCUACUGAGGCCGCGCCUGCUGUCUGGUGAGGAGUGUGUGCUGGAUAGCCUGCGCAUCUACCUGCUACCGGAUGGGCGUGAGGAGGGUGCCGGGGGCAGUGCAGGGGGGGCCAGCACUGUUCCCAGCUGAGGGCACCGUCUUCCUCAUCACGUACCACGUCAUCUUCACAGGGAUGCUCACAGACCCCCUGGUGGGGGAGCAGGUGGUGUUCCGCUCCUUCCCGGUGGCUGCGCUGACCAAGGAGAAGUGUAUCAGCGUCCAGACCCCUGUGGACCAGCUCUUGCAGGACGGGCUGCAGCUGCGCUCCUGCACAUUCCAGUUGCUGAAAAUGGCCUUUGAUGACAAGGUGGGGUCUGACAGUGUCGAGCCCUUCUGCAAGCAGCUGCAUAAGCUGCGGUACACGCUGGAUGUCAGGGCCACCUUCUCCUUCACCCUGGGCUCUGCCUACACACUGGGCAGGCCACCCCGUGUCUACACUGGGCAGGCCACCCCGUGUCACCAAGAACAAGGGUCUUUCCCUCAGAACCCUGUCCCAGAACCUGGUUAAGAAUGCUAAGAAGACCAUUUGGCGGCAGCAUGUCGCUCGCAAGAAGUACAACCCCCCAAGCUAGGAGCGCUGGGGCCAGCCCCCUGAGGACCAGGAGGACAAGAUCUCAGUGUCUGAGGAGCUGGAGCCCAGCACGCUGACCCCGUCCUCAGCCCUGGAGCCUUCAGACCGCAUCACCAUGAGCAGCCUCCUGGUGGAAAGGACUUGCCGCGAUUACCAGUACCUCGGCCUGGGCACCCUGAGCAGCCGCCUGAGCUGGGUCAAGUCUGAAUCCUUCUGCAUUUCUCCGGUCAACCGCAUGUAUACCAUCUACUGCAGCUACCCGGGGCUGCUGAUCGCGCCCCAGAGUGUCCAGGACAACGCCCUGCAGCAUGUGUCCCACUGCUACCGCCAGAACUGCUUCCCCGUGGUCUGCUGGGGCAGCGGGCGGUCCAAGGCAAUACUGCUGCGUUCUGGGGGCCUGCAUGGCAUAGGUGUCGUCGGCCUCUUUAAAGCCCAGAACGCACCUUCUCCUCCAGUUCCAGGCGGACUCCAGUAGUGUGGAGCAGAAGAAGUACCUGUAGGCUGUGGUCAGCUCCAUGCCCCGCUACUCCGGUGCAUCCGGAUGCAACACGCUUAGCGGCUUCUCCUCAGCCUACGUGGGCAGCCACGGUAAGUGGGGGCAUGUCGGGAUUAGUGGGCGCAGCAGUGGGCUUGGAGCCAAUGUGGGCACCUGGCUAGCUGGCAGAGACGUGCUGGCCCCACCCCAGGCCAACGGCUGCCCCUUGCCCCCCAACCAGGACUUCCUGUGGCUGCAGCGAGCAGCCCUCUACAUCCUCGGGGACAAAGUCCAACUCAAGAGUGUGAGGCCAGAUCCCCUGCAGCAGUGGGAGCUGGUGCCCACUGAGGUAUUCCAGGAGCGGCAGGUGAAGGCUAGCUUCAAGAAGCUGCUGAAGGCAUGUGUCCCAGGCUGCUCUGCUGCUGAGCCCAGCCUAGCCUCCUUCCUGCCCUUGCUGGAGGACUGGAGUGGCUGAUUCAGAUCCACAAGCUGCUGCAGGUGUUGGUGCUGGUGGGGAGCUCCUGUACUCAAGCUCCUCCGUGCUGAUGGGCCUGGAGGACGGCUGGGCCAUCACCACGCAGGUGGUAUCCUUGGUGCAGCUGCUGUCAGACCCCUUCUACCGCAUGCUGGAGGGGUUCUGCCUGCUGGUGGAGAAGGAGUGGCUGUCCUUCAGUAAUCGCUUCAGCCACUGGAGAGACCACAUUCUGGCUGGACAGAGCAGCAGCUUCACACCAUCUUCCUGUAGUUCCUGGACUGCCUACACCAGGUCCACCUGCAAUUCCCCACGGAGUUUGAGUUCAGCCAGUUCUACCUCAAGUUCCUUGGCUACCACCAUGUGUCUCGCUGUUUCCGGACCUUCCUGCUGGACUCUGACUAUGAGCACAUUGAGCUGGGGCUGUUGUAAGAGAAGGGGCAGCGCAGGGGCCAGCUGCCUUGCAGGUCUGUGUGUGGACCGGAUGAGCAAGAGGACACCCAUGUUCCACAAUUACAUGCAUGCACCCUAGGACACAGAGGUCCUGCGGACCUACAGCAACGUGUCCAAUCUGAAGGUGUAGGACUUCUACACUGAGGAGAUGCUGGCCGAGGGCCCUCCCUAUGAGCAGAAACUGGCCCAGGGGCCCCCUGAGCCCCAAAGGAAGAAUGGUCUGAGGGAGGCACUCCCCAGAGCAGGCACAGUAUGGUGUGGCCUGCUACCACAGCUGUCCCGGAGCCCAGCCUGACGCCAUCUCACGCCUGCUGGAGGAGCUGCAGAGGCUGGAGACAGAGUUGGGCUGACCCGCUGAGCGCUGGAAGGACACCUGGGAACGGAUGAGGCUGCACAGUGCCUCGAAGCCCGGCCAGAUGGACGUGGCACCCCUAGCUGCCUCCUAGCAUCCCCUGCACCCCACCACCGCUGCUCGCUGGUUAUGUACCAACAGGAGGAACCCCUGGGCUCCACCCUGAGCCUCAGCCUGGAGAGGGACCAGAGAAGUGGCUCCACCGCAUCUGGCUCCCACCAGGCUGCCCACUGCAGCACCAGUACCCUGUACAGCCAGUUCCAGACAGCUGAGAGUGAGAACAGGUCCUAUGAGGGCACUCUGUACAAGAAGGAGGCCUUCAUGAAGCCUUGGAAGGCCCGCUGGUUCAUGUUGGACAAGACCAAGCACCAGCUGCGCUACUACGGCCACCGUGUGGACACUGAGUGCAAGGGUGUCAUGGACCUGGCGGAGGUGGAGGCUGUGGCACCUGGCACAGUCCACCAUGGGCGCCCCUAAGAGCGUGGAUGAGAAGGCCUUCUUUGACGUGAAGACAACACGUCUCGUUUACAACUUUUGUGCCCAGGACGUGCCCUCGGUCCAGCAGUGGGUGGACCGGAUCCAGAGCCGCCUGUUGGAGGCCUGAGCCUCCCGGACUUGCCUGGCUGCUCUGCUUUCAGUCGUUACCGACCACUAGGGGUGGGCAGGGCCGCCCUGGCCGUGUUUACAGCCCCGGCCCGGCCCUCGGUAGUAUUAAGGCCCCGAACCCCCAGCACUUGUGUGUA